UACGGGGGGAGCAAGCGUUGUUCGGAUUUACUGGGCGUAAAGGGCGCGUAGGCGGUAGCACAAGUCAGUUGUGAAAUCUCCGGGCUUAACUCGGAAAGGUCAACUGAUACUGUGCGACUAGAGUGCAGAAGGGCAACUGGAAUUCUCGGUGUAGCGGUGAAAUGCGUAGAUAUCGAGAGGAACACCUGCGGCGAAGGCGGGUUGCUGGGCUGACACUGACGCUGAUGCGCGAAAGCCAGGGGAGCGAACGGG
This 252-nucleotide ribosomal RNA is filed under the name uncultured bacterium. Its description in RNAcentral is "partial 16S ribosomal RNA". It matches the Rfam family "Bacterial small subunit ribosomal RNA", at positions 524 to 776 of the family's 1533-position model. The record is from RNAcentral.